This 69-nucleotide transfer RNA is filed under the name Mimastra limbata. RNAcentral describes it as "tRNA-Gln". RNAcentral also lists the same sequence under 1 other name. Lineage: Eukaryota; Metazoa; Arthropoda; Insecta; Coleoptera; Chrysomelidae. The record is from RNAcentral.
UAUACUUUAAUAUAAGAUGUAUAUUAAUUUUUGAUAUUAAAAGAAGUAGUUUAAAUCUACUAAGUAUAA